GCAUUCGUGGUUUAGUGGUAAAAUUAGCCGUUGCCAUCGGCUAGCCCCGGGUGCGUAUCUAUAACUCCUAGAGAUUCUGAAAUGCUUCUAAUAUGUAAAAAGGUUCGAUUCCCGGCGAAUGCA
Molecule: transfer RNA, 123 nt
Filed under: Pseudocercospora fijiensis CIRAD86
Lineage: Eukaryota; Fungi; Ascomycota; Dothideomycetes; Mycosphaerellales; Mycosphaerellaceae
Description: tRNA-Gly (GCC) (tRNA-Gly-GCC-2-1)
Rfam family: tRNA
About the family: Transfer RNA (tRNA) molecules are approximately 80 nucleotides in length. Their secondary structure includes four short double-helical elements and three loops (D, anti-codon, and T loops).
Source: RNAcentral